GAUGAACGCUGGCGGCGUGCUUAACACAUGCAAGUCGAACGGUUAAAGCGGAGCUUGCUCUGCUGGAUCAGUGGCGAACGGGUGCGUAACACGUGAGCAAUCUGCCCCUGACUCUGGGAUAGGCGCUGGAAACGGCGUCUAAUACUGGAUACGAGCUGCGAAGGCAUCUUCAGCAGCUGGAAAGAACUUCGGUCAGGGAUGAGCUCGCGGCCUAUCAGCUUGUUGGUGAGGUAACGGCUCACCAAGGCGUCGACGGGUAGCCGGCCUGAGAGGGUGACCGGCCACACUGGGACUGAGACACGGCCCAGACUCCUACGGGAGGCAGCAGUGGGGAAUAUUGCACAAUGGGCGAAAGCCUGAUGCAGCAACGCCGCGUGAGGGACGACGGCCUUCGGGUUGUAAACCUCUUUUAGCAGGGAAGAAGCGAAAGUGACGGUACCUGCAGAAAAAGCGCCGGCUAACUACGUG
RNAcentral lists this ribosomal RNA (468 nucleotides) under uncultured bacterium. RNAcentral describes it as "partial 16S ribosomal RNA". It matches the Rfam family "Bacterial small subunit ribosomal RNA", at positions 28 to 507 of the family's 1533-position model. The record is from RNAcentral.